This 494-nucleotide ribosomal RNA is filed under the name uncultured bacterium. Its description in RNAcentral is "partial 16S ribosomal RNA". It matches the Rfam family "Bacterial small subunit ribosomal RNA", at positions 28 to 507 of the family's 1533-position model. The record is from RNAcentral.
GACGAACGCUGGCGGCGCGCUUAACACAUGCAAGUCGAACGGAAAGGCCUGCUUUCCCUUGUGGAUUGCGGGUACUCGAGUGGCGAACGGGUGAGUAACACGUGAGUGAUCUGCCCCCAACUUGGGUAUAAGCCUGGGAAACUGGGUCUAAUUCCCGAUAGGACUGCAGGGUGGUGCCUGUGGUGGAAAACGAUUUUCUAGUGGUUGGGGAUGAGCUCGCGGCCUACCAGCUUGUUGGUGGGGUAAUGGCCUACCAAGGCGGCGACGGGUAGCCGGCCUGAGAGGGUGGACGGCCACAUUGGGACUGAGAUACGGCCCAGACUCCUACGGGAGGCAGCAGUGGGGAAUAUUGCACAAUGGGCGGAAGCCUGAUGCAGCGACGCCGCGUGGGGGAUGACGGCCUUCGGGUUGUAAACUCCUUUCGACCGCGAGGAAGCCACCUGGUUGGAAGGGUGGUGACGGUAGUGGUAGAAGAAGCACCGGCUAACUACGUG